GUGUGGCCUUGUGGUGGAGACACCAGGCUCAUAGCCUGAUUGUCGUAGGUUCGAGCCCG
RNAcentral lists this transfer RNA (59 nucleotides) under Oxyrrhis marina. The record is from RNAcentral. Lineage: Eukaryota; Dinophyceae; Oxyrrhinales; Oxyrrhinaceae.